CGCUAUCAUCCUACGGGAAGCAGCAGUGGGGAAUAUUGCACAAUGGGCGCAAGCCUGAUGCAGCCAUGCCGCGUGUGUGAAGAAGGCCUUCGGGUUGUAAAGCACUUUCAGCAGUGAGGAAGGCGGAGUCGUUAAUAGCGGCCUCGUUUGACGUUAGCUGCAGAAGAAGCACCGGCUAACUCCGUGCCAGCAGCCGCGGUAAUACGGAGGGUGCGAGCGUUAAUCGGAAUUACUGGGCGUAAAGCGCAUGCAGGUGGUUUGUUAAGUCAGAUGUGAAAGCCCGGGGCUCAACCUCGGAAUAGCAUUUGAAACUGGCAGACUAGAGUACUGUAGAGGGGGUAGAAUUUCAGGUGUAGCGGUGAAAUGCGUAGAGAUCUGAAGGAAUACCGGUGGCGAAGGCGGCCCCCUGGACAGAUACUGACACUCAGAUGCGAAAGCGUGGGGAGCAAACAGGAUUAGAUACCCUGGUAG
Molecule: ribosomal RNA, 471 nt
Filed under: uncultured bacterium
Lineage: Bacteria
Description: bacterial SSU rRNA
Rfam family: Bacterial small subunit ribosomal RNA
Source: RNAcentral